Vitis vinifera (wine grape) is the source of this 577-nucleotide long non-coding RNA. RefSeq lists it as uncharacterized. Lineage: Eukaryota; Viridiplantae; Streptophyta; Magnoliopsida; Vitales; Vitaceae. The record is from RefSeq and is a predicted model, not a curated record. The transcript is spliced from 2 exons.
AGUGGGAGUUCCAAUCGCACGUGUGACGGCUCAAGCUCAAAACAGGGAGCACGUGGGAACACAUUGUUUGCCGUUUUUAAACUCCCGUGAGGGGCUUAGAUGGGGUGGAGGCUGUGGAGCACAUAGAAUCAAAACCAGAGAGAAGGGGGAAUUGCGGGAAGCGCAGAAAUAUGAGUGCAAUGAACAAAGCUGGAGAUUGGGCCUUCAAGGCGCUCGUGGGGGGCCUCAGCGUCGCCACUGUUUAUCUCUCCGCGACAUUUUCCGUCAACGUCUACAGAGGCUUCGCUUGGCACAAAGCUCAAGCUAAAAUGGAAGAGACUGAUGCUAGUGACCAAACCGCAUGACUUGAAAUUUUCACCAUCAUCUUAAAAGUCUAGAGUUCACAUAUUUUUGGUCUUUCCUUCAGUGUGGGGAUAUGCAAUGCCAAACUUUUAUGGAGCUUUGUCUUAUCCAUGUGCUGUAUUCAGGUUCGGGUGGGAUGUGCAUGUUCCCAAAACCUACUUCUCCAUGAACAUGAAUUCAUCAUAAUUGGAAAUGAGUUUCCGGGUAGCUGUGAUGGGUACCCGACUUUUUUUUA